RNAcentral lists this ribosomal RNA (270 nucleotides) under uncultured Lachnospiraceae bacterium. RNAcentral's name for it is "partial 16S ribosomal RNA". It matches the Rfam family "Bacterial small subunit ribosomal RNA", at positions 59 to 339 of the family's 1533-position model. Lineage: Bacteria; Bacillati; Bacillota; Clostridia; Lachnospirales; Lachnospiraceae. The record is from RNAcentral.
AUUGAAGCCUAGCGAUAUGUAAGUUAGUGGCGGACGGGUGAGUAACGCGUGGGUAACCUGCCUUGUACUGGGGGACAACAGUUGGAAACGACUGCUAAUACCGCAUAAGCGCACAGGAUUGCAUGAUCCGGUGUGAAAAACUCCGGUGGUAUGAGAUGGACCCGCGUCUGAUUAGCUUGUUGGCAGGGUAACGGCCUACCAAGGCAACGAUCAGUAGCCGACCUGAGAGGGUGACCGGCCACAUUGGGACUGAGACACGGCCCAGACUCC